RNAcentral lists this ribosomal RNA (563 nucleotides) under uncultured bacterium. Its description in RNAcentral is "partial 16S ribosomal RNA". It matches the Rfam family "Bacterial small subunit ribosomal RNA", at positions 355 to 928 of the family's 1533-position model. The record is from RNAcentral.
UGGGGAAUAUUGCACAAUGGGCGAAAGCCUGAUGCAGCGACGCCGCGUGAGGGAUGACGGCCUUCGGGUUGUAAACCUCUUUCAGCAGGGAAGAAGCGAAAGUGACGGUACCUGCAGAAGAAGCGCCGGCUAACUACGUGCCAGCAGCCGCGGUAAUACGUAGGGCGCAAGCGUUGUCCGGAAUUAUUGGGCGUAAAGAGCUCGUAGGCGGUUAGUCGCGUCUGCUGUGAAAACUCGAGGCUCAACCUCGGGCUUGCAGUGGGUACGGGCUGACUAGAGUGCGGUAGGGGUGACUGGAAUUCCUGGUGUAGCGGUGGAAUGCGCAGAUAUCAGGAGGAGCACCGAUGGCGAAGGCAGGUCACUGGGCCGCAACUGACGCUGAGGAGCGGAAGCAUGGGGAGCGAACAGGAUUAGAUACCCUGGUAGUCCAUGCCGUAAACGUUGGGCACUAGGUGUGGGGUCCAUUCCACGGAUUCCGUGCCGCAGCAAACGCAUUAAGUGCCCCGCCUGGGGAGUACGGCCGCAAGGCUAAAACUCAAAUGAAUUGACGGGGGUCAUAGCUG